Molecule: long non-coding RNA, 256 nt
Filed under: Lathyrus oleraceus (garden pea)
Lineage: Eukaryota; Viridiplantae; Streptophyta; Magnoliopsida; Fabales; Fabaceae
Description: Pisum sativum (pea) long non-coding RNA (PSAT_LNC026992)
Source: RNAcentral
AAAACUUCAAUUAAUGUUCCUUUAAUGUUCCUACUUCAUGUAGAUUGAUGGUCUUCUGGUUUUAAAUCAAGCACAGGAAAACUAUCGCUCCCUCUAGCUCAACUAUAGUAAUUAAGAAUUUGUAUGGUUUGAAUGAUGCAGUUGAUUCAGCCAUAGUCGGUUCUCCCAAUACUAUUUCUGUCGCCGUUUCUCCAACUUCCAUCAACAUAUGUAAUUCCUUGGAAUUAGCUCUGAUCUCCCUCAAGUUAGCCAGCCA